Camelina sativa (false flax) is the source of this 1777-nucleotide non-coding RNA. The record is from RefSeq and is a predicted model, not a curated record. NCBI's taxonomy places the organism in Eukaryota, Viridiplantae, Streptophyta, Magnoliopsida, Brassicales, Brassicaceae.
AAUAAAAUAAAAAAAUACUUAGCCAAAAAAAACUUCUUUGGGUCUCCCCUCCUGCCAUUCACUCUCUCUAUAUAUGAUACAUCUUCUUCCUCGCCGUGAUAAUAUAACAAAGUCCUCGCCGUGUUGUUGUCGUCUUUGGCCUUCUGAUUCCAAUUCCAAGGCCUUCACUGGACCCCAAAAUCUGUGACAGGAAUAAUAGCUUGGUUUGGUAAUCUUUUGGUUAUUAUCUGGUUUAGUAUGUAUUUUGGUUUGUUUAUCCGGUUUAGCAAACACAUUAUAUGUAAUCCUAUCUCAUUAGUGAGAAUCAAUCAACCAAAUAACAAUUAUCUCUUCUUCUCUCUCACUCUAUGUACGAUUGUUCAUCAUCAAUCAUCAUCAUCAUCAAAUCUUAGUUCUCUGAGUUGGUUCUUCUUCCUUUGUAACCUUCUCUUAGCCUUUGAUUUGCCUUUUCCUUGAGUUCUCGGUGAACUCUGGAUUAGGGAUUCAAUUUACUGUUACAAAAUCAAACAAAGCAAACCCUAGAUGAUCAAUUGCAGAGGGAGACAAUAGCUAUUUCGUCGACGAUUCUUUCCACCGGUGGUGGCUAAACUUUCACAGAUCUCUUCAUCUCUGUAACAUUUUUUCUGAGUCACCGGAGCAAGUCGACACAAGAUUCUUGUCUCUCAACAAGAGUAGAUGUCCUGUGUCACGUGCCAAAAGGGUGUUCUCUGACGCCAUUUACGAGUCUAACAAAUGGGUCGUCAAUGCGGCAACGUCUCUGGUUUCAGGUCGAGUUUUGUUAUUAGAAGAAGUUUUGCAAAAUGAGCUUCAUGGACAAGGACCAAUAAUGUAGAUAAGAAACGUCUCCUCUCAUCUCAAAACGAUGGCCGCCGAUGUUGUCACUGCUUCUCCUCGUCGACCAAUAGCCGCCUCUGCUAGUUCCGUUGGUUUCUAUACUCUUGUUUCUCUGAACUUUUUUUUUUGACUAUGUAUGGUCAGAUCUAAAAGAAGGAAACAGCAAGGAUAUGGGAGGAAAAGGAUUCGUAGCUGCGAAGAUGAUGGCUGGUUACCAUCUAUUAUUCAUACUGAUACUUGUUUUUCUCUUAUUUAGAUUAUGUUCAUGAGGUAUAGAGCAAAUAAGAGACAAAUUAACUCUUCUGUGAUUCACAACUUUUGGGGUAAGUAUUCUUUCCCUUAUACUCUUGUUAAACCUUUCCGGGUAAGUAUUCUUUCGGGUUAUAUCCAUUUGAUUUUCAGAACCUCCUCAUAUAAGUAAUUGGUUUUCAAGCUAUGUAUAUGAAUCACCGAUGCUAGAUACAAGUAAUGGUUCUGAAUUAUCUGAUUAUGGAGGAAGUGUGAAUGUAUAAAGGAUAUGGAAUUGUUGAAUAUAUAUCUAAUAUCUAUGUACAAACUAUAUUCUGUUUCAGUUGGCUCAUUUGUGACUGCUUGAUGUGUUUCUUGUUUUCUUUUCCAGCUCUAGUUCUCCUACUCAAUUCACCAUCUGUAAGUAAAACUCUUUCAAUCUUAGUUUCAGUAUCAUGAAUCAAUGUGUGUGUGUGUGGAAACUAUGCAGUUUGUUGAUGACUGUCAAAGGUAUUAGAAGCACAGUGAGAAGCUGAAAAGAAAGACUUGACAUUCAUUAUCACAGAGUGUAUCAAAGGCUUUUAAGGAUGCUAGUGUUAUUCUUCCAAAACUUCAAGUUACAAAAAUAAGUUAUUUAUUUUAUGUAAUGUAACUAUGUAUGUAAAAUCGGUUUUGUGGAAUGAAUCUUCUCCAUAAUUUAUAUAUUUUCACAUAA